AAAUUCGUUGACUCGAGCGGGAUUUGAACUCGCAUCUUCGGGUAUCUAAACCGAAGAUGCGAGUUCAAAUCCCGCUCGAGCGAACGAAUUU
Molecule: non-coding RNA, 91 nt
Organism: Paramuricea clavata
Lineage: Eukaryota; Metazoa; Cnidaria; Anthozoa; Malacalcyonacea; Plexauridae
Source: the annotation of a GenBank genome assembly